GCCGAAGUGGCGGAAUUGGCAGACGCGCUACGUUCAGGGCGUAGUGAGGGUUCCCUCAUCCGGGUUCAAGUCCCGGCUUCGGCA
RNAcentral lists this transfer RNA (84 nucleotides) under Pseudomonadota bacterium. Its description in RNAcentral is "tRNA-Leu". It matches the Rfam family "tRNA". From Rfam's summary of the family: Transfer RNA (tRNA) molecules are approximately 80 nucleotides in length. Their secondary structure includes four short double-helical elements and three loops (D, anti-codon, and T loops). RNAcentral also lists the same sequence under 6 other names. Lineage: Bacteria; Pseudomonadati; Pseudomonadota. The record is from RNAcentral.